RNAcentral lists this unclassified non-coding RNA (253 nucleotides) under uncultured Bacteriovoracaceae bacterium. Its description in RNAcentral is "contains 16S-23S intergenic spacer region". It matches the Rfam family "Bacterial small subunit ribosomal RNA", at positions 524 to 776 of the family's 1533-position model. The record is from RNAcentral. Lineage: Bacteria; Pseudomonadati; Bdellovibrionota; Bacteriovoracia; Bacteriovoracales; Bacteriovoracaceae.
UACGAAGGGUGCAAGCGUUACUCGGAUUUACUGGGCGUAAAGCGCGCGCAGGCGGAUUGAUAAGUCAGAUGUGAAAUCUCGGGGCUCAACCCCGAAACUGCGUCUGAAACUGUUGAUCUAGAGUAUCGGAGGGGGAAGUGGAAUUUCGCAUGUAGGGGUAAAAUCCGUAGAGAUGCGAAGGAACACCAGAGGCGAAGGCGACUUCCUGGCCGAUAACUGACGCUGAGGCGCGAAAGCGUGGGGAGCAAACAGG